This 55-nucleotide non-coding RNA is filed under the name Pseudooceanicola batsensis HTCC2597. Its description in RNAcentral is "Oceanicola batsensis HTCC2597 Singlet oxygen resistance RNA X". It matches the Rfam family "Singlet oxygen resistance RNA X". Rfam says of the family: SorX (RSs2461)like SorY is a singlet oxygen induced sRNA that counteracts oxidative stress by targeting mRNA for a transporter in Rhodobacter. It also has an impact on resistance against organic hydroperoxides. It targets SD sequence of potA mRNA via an aSD sequence. Lineage: Bacteria; Pseudomonadati; Pseudomonadota; Alphaproteobacteria; Rhodobacterales; Paracoccaceae. The record is from Rfam by way of RNAcentral.
AUCAUCAUCAUACCUCCCUGUUGGACUUGGCCGGACUUUAUGUCCGGCCUUUUUU